AGUGAACGCUGGCGGUAGGCCUAACACAUGCAAGUCGAACGGCAGCACAGUAAGAGCUUGCUCUUACGGGUGGCGAGUGGCGGACGGGUGAGGAAUACAUCGGAAUCUACUUUUUCGUGGGGGAUAACGUAGGGAAAGUUACGCUAAUACCGCAUACGACCUACGGGUGAAAGCAGGGGAUCUUCGGACCUUGCGCGAUUGAAUGAGACGAUGUCGGAUUAGCUAGUUGGCGGGGUAAAGGCCCACCAAGGCGACGAUCCGUAGCUGGUCUGAGAGGAUGAUCAGCCACACUGGAACUGAGACACGGUCCAGACUCCUACGGGAGGCAGCAGUGGGGAAUAUUGGACAAUGGGCGCAAGCCUGAUCCAGCCAUACCGCGUGGGUGAAGAAGGCCUUCGGGUUGUAAAGCCCUUUUGUUGGGAAAGAAAAGCAGCAGGUUAAUACCCCGCUGUUCUGACGGUACCCAAAGAAUAAGCACCGGCUAACUUCGUG
This 492-nucleotide ribosomal RNA is filed under the name uncultured bacterium. RNAcentral describes it as "partial 16S ribosomal RNA". It matches the Rfam family "Bacterial small subunit ribosomal RNA", at positions 29 to 507 of the family's 1533-position model. The record is from RNAcentral.